Long non-coding RNA from Oncorhynchus keta (chum salmon), 924 nucleotides. RefSeq lists it as uncharacterized. Lineage: Eukaryota; Metazoa; Chordata; Actinopteri; Salmoniformes; Salmonidae. The record is from RefSeq and is a predicted model, not a curated record. The transcript is spliced from 6 exons.
AAACACUAGACAGUCCUGAAAGGUGCAGAAAACACUAGACAGUCAGAAAACACUAGACAGUCCUGAAAGGUGCAGAAAACACUAGACAGUCCUGAAAGGUGCAGAAAACACUAGACAGUCCUGAAAGGUGCAGAAAACACUAGACAGUCCUGAAAGGUGCAGAAAACACUAGACAGUCCUGAAAGGUGCAGAAAACACUAGACAGUCCUGUAAGGUGCAGAAAACACUAGACGGUCCUGAAAGGUGCAGAAAACACUAGACAGUCCUGAAAGGUGCAGAAAACACUAGACAGUCCUGAAAGGUGCAGAAAACACUAGACAGUCCUGAAAGGUGCAGAAAACACUAAACAGUCCUGUAAAGGUGCAGAAAACACUAGACAGUCCUGAAAGGUGCAGAAAACACUAGACUAGACAGUCCUGAAAGGUGCAGAAAACACUAGACGGUCCUGAAAGGUGCAGAAAACACUAGACAGUCCUGAAAGGUUCAGAAAACACUAGACAGUCCUGUAAGGUGCAGAAAACACUAGACAGUCAGAAAACACUAGACAGUCCUGAAAGGUGCAGAAAACACUAGACAGUCCUGAAAGGUGCAGAAAACACUAGACAGUCCUGUAAGGUGCAGAAAACACUAGACGGUCCUGUAAGGUGCAGAAAACACUAGACAGUCCUGUAAGGUGCAGAAAACACUAGACAGUCCUGAAAGGUGCAGAAAACACUAGACGGUCCUGAAAGGUGCAGAAAACACUAGACAGUCCUGAAAGGUUCAGAAAACACUAGACAGUCCUGAAAGGUGCAGAAAACACUAGACAGUCCUGAAAGGUGCAGAAAACACUAGACAGUCCUGAAAGGUGCAGAAAACACUAGACAGUCCUGAAAGGUGCAGAAAACACUAGACAGUCCUGAAAAGUGCAGAAAACACUAGACA